UACAGAGGGGGCAAGCGUUAUUCGGAAUUAUUGGGCGUAAAGGGCGCGUAGGCGGCUUGGCAAGUGGAAGGUGAAAUCCCUCGGCUUAACCGAGGAACUGCCCUCCAAACUGCUUUGCUUGAGGCCGGGAGAGGCGAGUGGAAUUCCCAGUGUAGCGGUGAAAUGCGUAGAUAUUGGGAGGAACACCAGUGGCGAAGGCGGCUCGCUGGACAGUUCCUGACACUGAGACACGAAGGCCAGGGGAGCAAACGGG
RNAcentral lists this ribosomal RNA (253 nucleotides) under uncultured bacterium. Its description in RNAcentral is "partial 16S ribosomal RNA". It matches the Rfam family "Bacterial small subunit ribosomal RNA", at positions 524 to 776 of the family's 1533-position model. The record is from RNAcentral.